GUCACAAGCAGAGACAGUCUAAGAUGCCUGCCCCCCAAAUCCCCAAUUGUUUAGAGCCACAUUCUCUGCAUUUGUCACAUCUUCUAUAACACUGUGAAUUAUGAAGUGUGAGGCCUCAAUUCAAUCAUGAUUAAUUUUAUUAAAGGGGUGGAGAGAAGUGAAACUAACAUCUGUCUAUUAAUGACGUGCAUAGCAGACACCCCUUUUAUCCAAAUAGAAAAAACAAAAGCAAACUUUUAAAAAACCUCUAUAAUAACACACCAGAAAACAUUAAAACGUGAAAAGCUCUAUUCAUGUAAGACAACAUGCCGUACAUUAAGCACAUACUAUGGUAAAGAACAAUUAACCGUAAUCGGUCACCUGACACUCUCUGAUUAAUUAAUUUUAGCCUCCAGUCACAUCGUUUAAAGCACAAUGCCAUGUGAAGGCAUUGUCCAAAUAAAAUCUGUAUCUCGAGGAUCUCAUCAUGCAUGAAGUUCGUGUGUCCCUGCCAGCUCGCCUUUCUCUCUGCGGUUGAUGAGGAUUUCACACAGGCCGAAGCUGGUGCGCAUCCUCGUGGGCCAGGUCUCCGUUUGGACUGGACUGUGCCCCCCAGCUGCCUGGCAUUCCCUCUUCAGACCCACUCGGACUUUCUGGAUCUCAGGCUAGCGGGCGGGUCGGGGGGCUGCAGCUGACUGGACGGACAGCGCUGGGUGGGCCGGCUCCGUGGUGCUACUGGGUGCUCCUCUGACCUCGUAGCACCCUCGUCCCUUGGGUCCCCGGAGGCCUCUCUGUGGGGCCCGCUCCCCGGCUCUUUGCUGGCCGAGGACAUCACGUCACUGUCCUCUUCAUCAGGAAGCCCUGUCCGCACUGACCCGGCGGACUUAGCGCUGGGGUUGCGGGCACCCUCCCCUGCAGCCCACGGGCCGGGGUGGACUGGCACCUGCGCCUCCACCCACCCACCGCGGCUGCUGGCCGUCGGACCCGGCCUCGUCCGCUCCGGCCGGGCGGCUGCGCGCAGGUGGGCGCUCAUUCUCCCGUGCAAGCUGCAGACAAGGUCCGCCACGCUGAGCACCAGCGACAGCGCGCUGACAGCCCACAUGAAAAGCAUCAUAAUGGACUUCUCCGUGGGCCUGGAGACGUAACAGUCCACCACGCUGGUGCAGGGAGAGUGCGUGCAAGAGAAUCUCUUUGGGACCAAGAAUCCAAAGAGGAGGUAGUGCGAGGCACCAAAAGCUGCCUCGGUCAGCAUCCGAAGAAAGAGGUGGACGAUGUAGCCGGAGGAGAAGUCUGGCACAGUCAGGUGGCGCCGCUCCCUGUCCCCAGGGCUCAGGUCAGCGGGGUCAGGGUCCCCGGGACUGUCGUCCGGCCCGCAGAAUCGGCGGGCGGCCAGCACGGCCCCCCUAUGCAGCACGUAGACGCUGAAGACCGCAGAAGGGAGGAGCACGGACACACUCUGGAUCAGCCAGAACCGCAGCUGGGACACUGGGGAGAAGAUGUCAUAGCAAACAUUGGCGCAUCCCGGCUGCAGAGUGUUGCACACAAACCUCUCCUGCUCGUCCUGGACUCCCAUACCUCUCUGAAAAUUUGAUAUGUCUGCAUCAAACUCAGAAAUAUUUAUUACGUUCUUAAAAAAAAUAAACUAAAAUUUAGAUUUGGCUUGAAAUACACAAGAGAAAUUACUAGUCUUUUACAAAUUAAGCUUCAAGAAAAAGAUGAACUGGAAGAAAGUGUAAUCAGGGCAUUAAUUUCUCUUUAAUUUGUACUGUAUUGUUCCUUCUCCUGAUAAGGCAGACAGAGAAGAGUUACACAAAGAUACUUCCUUUUGCUUCAGUCCUUCAGGCUCAGCACCCAAAUGUCAGUGAGAAGACACCCCAGGAGAGAACACUCACAUCCAAGUCUUCCUUAAAUGAUGGUGGAACUGUGGAGCGAUUAAAAGAAAGCUUGAGCACACAACUCCCUUUCUUCCCUCAAUAAACAGGACAGGCAAAGUGAUGAAAACAAAAACACAAGAGCUUUGGAGCUGUUUUCUAUACUCACCUACUAUGGUCAUGUUGCAAUUGAAGGUGAUGAGGAGGAAGCCCAGCAGAUCCAAACGUGCCAUGCCUCCAGAGCAUCACAGACCCGGGGCUGCUGGAGACAUCAGAAGCCUGUGUUCUCCAAGAAAGUGGGAAAUCUGUGCCGGAAUAAACGUAUCUUCCGUACAAAAGACUUAAAGGUGAGAGCUGCGGAUAUAAAAGGAAAGCUUGGAGCCCAGGAACGGGCCGGGGGAUGGGGGUGUGAUUUUUCCGAAUCCGGGUUGAGACAGCCCUGAGCUAUCCUCUGAGGCAAAGCAUUCUUGACAACUGCAGUGACCAGAAGACAGCAGGAGUCGUCUCUCAUUGUGGGCUAUUCUUACCCUCUUGGGACAUUCCAGGCCCGUGGCACGACUCACAUGUCUCUACCAGGAGAGCCAGAUGCUUCAGGAUAUAAUAGAAGCUACUACAUUUAACCCAAGAAAGAAAAGGUUCUGUUAACUGGCCAAGGAAACUUCUCCACUAAAAAGAUAUUUCCUCCUUGCAAAGAUUUCCACAACCCCUUCACUUGUUAAAGAAGCACUAAAAUAUUCAUGUUUUGUCUUCUCUGUGAAGCAUAAGCCAUCAUAACUCUGGCCCGCAAGGGUCUGGCCCUCAUUCUGCAUUCCUACACCAUGGAUGAAAGCAUAAGUCUGCAUCUCAGACAUGUGUGUCAACUUUAAGCUGUGACUCAGUUACUCUCUAGCUAUUUCCUAUUUGGGUGAGUGAUGAGUGCUUUUUACAUGGAUACAAAAGGCCUGGGUACAAAGCCUGGGGCAGCUACCUGGUCAGUGCGGAAGUCAAUAAGUCUCCCCACAUAUCCCCAUAUGGAUUAGGAUCCCUGCAUUAGGGAGAAUCAUGCUGUCCCAGUCAGGGCUUGUGGGAGGAAGACACAAAAUGAUGAUGUUGAGAGCACCUAGCAUGCAGUCGGUGUGCAACAACUCAGAUCACUGGAAUUUCCAUCUGUAACUGGCCCCCAACACAUUCAUAGAGUGGACCUUCUUUUUGUCUCUCCCAGCCCCAUCCAGCCAGCCCUGCUCCUGUUGAAUCAGCUUAAUAAAUGUCCAUUAAAUUUGUAAUAAAGUAUCACCAUCUGGACCUGCUGACAUCAAUCACAGUUGCAUCAAAAUCCUCUCGUGGCUGUCACCUUUAUAGCUAGGAGGAGCCCAUCUUGCAAGGCUCGGGAUCUAUCAUCAGGCUGGAAAUGGUGAACUUUAAACGGAAUGAUUUCAAUUUUCCAUGAAAGCUUUUCUUUUAUUCCCAUCUUUUCUUUAUUUCUGAUCUAUUCUUGACUUUAGUAAUAUCCCUAAAAAGAUUCCCAGAAGAGGAGUACAACAAAGGUGCUUUCAUCUUUAUUCACAUGACAGGUUUCCACCCACAGAAAACAUUUUGACCCCCUUGAAAGGCACAGUAGUUUCGCUAUAUUUUAGUCAAAUGCUUCAACAUGAACAAUGAAAUUUAGCGAAAUUGUAGUUAAGUAAAAAAUAUUGAAAUAGCCAUAUGGUUCCAGUAUAAAAUAAAGGAAAAUAUUUUUCAUUCUUAAUAGACUUUGUGAUACUGGCUUAAAAUCUGAAAUAUCAGGAAAGUAAUUUCUGAAUUUUGCUAUAUGAUAUAAAUAACCUAUUCUGAAUAUGGAAUAAAAUAGCAUUUUGC
This 3686-nucleotide long non-coding RNA is filed under the name Suricata suricatta (meerkat). Its description in RNAcentral is "lncRNA (ENSSSUG00005013690.1)". The record is from RNAcentral. Lineage: Eukaryota; Metazoa; Chordata; Mammalia; Carnivora; Herpestidae.